Monodelphis domestica (gray short-tailed opossum) is the source of this 2839-nucleotide non-coding RNA. The record is from RefSeq and is a predicted model, not a curated record. NCBI's taxonomy places the organism in Eukaryota, Metazoa, Chordata, Mammalia, Didelphimorphia, Didelphidae.
AGAUGUUUGUAGGACAUUCCAGAUUCAGAUGACCAAAAAGAAUUUGGUGACAUGCAAAUGAAACUCAGGGUUUGAAACUAGAAUUAGAUACUGGAGUAUGUGAGUCAUCCUGAAAGAUAAUAAUUUCACUCAUGCCAGCUAAUGAGAUUAUUAAGUGAGAGCACAAAAGGAAAAGACAAGAGAAACCAAGACAGAGCCUGGUAGAAUGGUAGUCAACAGUAUCAGAUGAUCAGGAGUAGAAGAAGGGUGAAACUUGAGAAAAGUCCGUUAAAUGUAGGAAUUAAGAGAACAUUGGUAGUUUUGGGCAGGACAAUUUCAAUGGGAUAAUGAGAUUAGGAACUAAAUUUCAGAAUUUAUAAGGGAAUAAAUGGAGGAUAGAGAAUGCAUUUGAAUAAAAUAGAAAAUCUUUUCAUAAAAUUUAACUACUUAGGAUUAAAAAAAUAUUUAGAACAAUGAUUAACUAGCAAAUCAAAAGCUAGCAGAUAGUAGGAUUAAGUGACUAAGCAUGUUUCUUUCAAGCUAAGAGAAUUUAAGGAUCAACCUGAUACUGAAGUUUCUCUCUGAAAAGAAGGGAAAACAAGACUUCCGGGUAAACAUGGCUGCAAUCUAGACGCGACUCUCUUCCCCUCCCCGGCACCGAACGAAAUAGACUACCUCAAAAGAGCAUAAAAAUCACCUUGGAAAAAAUGGAGGUACUCUCCAGUACCCCACAGAAACAAAGAUCCCCAGGAGAAGUAGGCUCAAAUUUAAAGUAUAACUAUAAUGAAGUACAUGCAUGAAGAACACAUGUGGCAAAAAGGAAUUUCCUGACUCCUGAGCCUGGAAGCAAUUUUCUCUCUUCAAGGAAUCUUCAUGAAGAUCAUACCAGAGCAUGACAUAUUUUGUAGAUGAAUCAUUGCAUUGGACUGCCUCCUCAAAGCAUGUGACAGCUUGGCUGGAUAAGUUAAUUUGAUUCUGGUAUGGACUGAUCUGUUAUUGGCCUGGGCUAUACAACUGUCUCCCUAAAAUCUCUCCAGACCGUGAAGUGCUCCCAAGGUGACUGACUAUGCAUGUUCAUUUCAAAGUUUCUGCUCAAUCACCUCUAAGGUUAUCGUGGCUACUACUGCUUCCUCUCAUGGACUCAGUUACCAGUUUCAAUAAUUGGUAAGAUGUGAAAUGUUUCCUCUGGAUCCUCUCUAACUCACAAAAUGUUGCCUGGACAUAACCAAUGCAGAAUACACAUUUGCUAAGAUCAGGAAGAAUAAAUACAAAGUCAGAGAAGGCUUCCAUGGGCUUAAGACCCCUAAGACUGGGUGAGGUGGAGCAUCCGCCUUUUCCUUUUGAUUCCUUCAGGACAUUGCUACAUUCUAGAUAGGAUGUGAGAGAACAAAGGUAGAGUCUUUCUUUUAACCAUCUGGACUGUUGUCAUUUACUAAUUCAGUGUCUCUAAAUAAAUGGUUAAUAAGGAAGAUGGGGAAGAUGAGGUGCCAGCAAUUGUCUUUGAACCUAGAGACAUUAUUUUCUUUACUUCACACUGGAAUUAUGAAAAGUCCCUAGCAGUUUUAUUCUCUUCUUUUUCCUAAGAUUCUCCUCAACUUCUCAAAUGGCAAUAGUUGAUAUCUUUGGUAAGCAUACAUUCUAUUCCAUCCAAGUCUUUUUGGAUGUAUUAAUAAAAUAUUUUCUUCUUCCUAAUAUAAUAUCCUAUUGGUGAAGAAAAAUAUAACAUUCUUCCUAAUAACAAUAAAUUAAUUUCUUUGGUUGAAUUUAUCUAGGAAUUUUGCAAAAUUUAACAUACACUUGAGACUUGUUGGAGGACAGAUAGUUAAAAGUAAUGUUUUGUUGCGGGUUUUUUUUAAAGCAAUCAACAAACAUAAUCACAACAGGAUCUUGUUUUCUUUCAACUUUUCAGUCAAAUGUCUGACUGUAUGGUUGAGGUCUAUUAUGGAGAAUUAUUUGUAAAAUCCGAUCUCUUUCCUUAUCAUAAUUUGACAGAGGCUACAUUGAUAUGCAUGUAGAUAACUCUCACAAACAUUUUAUUUAAAAAAAUUAGAAAGUAGAAAUGUGUUGGUAGUUAUUCACAUUCUUUCAGGAUCUUUUUGGCUUUUUUCUGUGUUUUUCCACUUAUUCUUUAUUCUUUCUAUUUCUUUUUAGCACUAAAUUUCAGUUAUUCUGUUCCUGGAACAACAUAGUAAUGUUUUAUAAAUCUCAAUCUCUCUCUCUCUCUCUCUCUCUCUCUCUCUUGCUCUCUCUCUCUCUCUCUCUUGCUCUCUCUCUCGCUCUCUCUGUCUCUGUCUCUCUGUCUCUCUGUCUCUGUCUUUGUUUCUCUCUCUGUCUCUCUGUCUCUGUCUCUGUCUCUCUGUCUCUCUCUCUCUCUCUCCCUCCAGCCAUACACACACCAGUAUUUUUCAUGACCCUUUUUAGAAAUGAUGGCUUAAUAUUUUUAAGAUAUACAAUCUACAUCAUGGAUUUCUUCUAUAUAUGCCUGAAAUGACCUAAAUAGUCUUCUUAACUCUCCAACUACUAUCUCCUCCUCCUUUGUAAAGCUCAUUGAGUUCAGAAGUGUUUGGAAUCGAAUAUCAAUUCCUCUGUCUCUUAUGAUGAAAAUAGUGCAUUAAGGAAAUGUUGAAAAAUGUGUUUCAUUUUACAUUUCUUUUUUUCUGCAACUUAGAUAUUCAUCAUGCAUGCACCUGGGAUCAUAUGGAUCAUUUGAGGCUCAUGAAAAAUGUUCUGCAGACUUUUUUUAUCACUUGUUGAAUCUUGUUGUUUCACAAAGCAGUGAUGUUCAUUAUCCUUGGCAACAUCUGUCUUUGGCAAGGAAAUCAAGUAUUUACUGAAUAAAGCAAUUUCUGGAUUCUUUUGG